UGUAAAGUCACGAGUCCGAGGCUCCGAGCAAGUCACGCGACUCAAUCCCUCCCCACUUUUAAAAGCCGCCCUUGCUGUUAAUAGGUUUCCAACUCAAAGUCCAAACCUCAAAGGGGAGGGGGAGAGAGAGAGAGAGAGAGAGAGAGAGAGAAAAUGUUGUCAAAGCUGCAAAGGAGAGUGGCAUUGCGAAGGAAGUUUAAGUUACUACGGUCGUUUACCCACUCCAAAUCGGUGAGGAAGAGCUCCAUUAUCGUGGAUGCUAUUGAUUACAUUAAACAACUGAUGAACAAGUUGGAGGCCUUGAACCUUCAAUAUGCUAAACUCAUCCACCAUCCAAUUCAAAUCUCCACGGUCUCUCUCUCUCUCUCUCUCUCUCUCUCUCUCUCUCGUAUGUGAGUAGCCCGAUUCGAUGUGGAGGGAUAUAAAGAUUUGGGCUCUCUCUCUUAAAGGGAAACUUUUAAAGAUGAGUUCUACCCAAGUUCCAACAACAGAUACCAAUCUCCCUCUCCACAUGGGAUAAGAGGUGAAAGUAGAGAAGAUUGAGAUGGGGUUCCUAGUACUGGUGACUUGUGAAGAAGGGCAAGAUUUGCUGGUUUCAGUCAUAGAGGCACUGGAGGUAACAGGGCUUAAUGUAGUCCAUGCGAAGGUUUCAUGUAACCAAUCUUUUUGCAUGGAAGCCAUUGUUGAAGCUCAAGAUCAGACUAUGGAUGCUCAGGAGGUCAAUCAAGCGGUCUUUGAGGCUAUUGCUAAGCAUGUUAAUGGUAAAGAUAAUAUAGAUAAUUAAGGCCAAGGUUUGUAAGAAUUUACUUGCAGAUUUAAUCAAUUGCACAACUGAAGCGUAAUGUUUAUA
This is an RNA transcript of Macadamia integrifolia, 850 nucleotides long. RefSeq lists it as uncharacterized. Lineage: Eukaryota; Viridiplantae; Streptophyta; Magnoliopsida; Proteales; Proteaceae. The record is from RefSeq and is a predicted model, not a curated record. The transcript has 3 exons.